CCUACGGGAGGCAGCAGUGAGGAAUAUUGGUCAAUGGACGAGAGUCUGAACCAGCCAAGUAGCGUGAAGGAUGACUGCCCUAUGGGUUGUAAACUUCUUUUAUAAAGAAAUAAAACGAGGCACGUGUGCCUUUUUGCAUGGACUUUAUGAAUAAGGAUCGGCUAACUCCGUGCCAGCAGCCGCGGUAAUACGGAGGAUCCGAGCGUUAUACGGAUUUAUUGGGUUUAAAGGGAGCGUGGAUGGGUUGUUAAGUCAGUAGUGAACGUUUGCGGGUCAACCGUAAAAUUGCAAUUGUUACUGGCAGUCUUGAGUACAGUUGAGGUAGGCGGAAUUCGUGGUGUAGCGGUGAAAUGCUGAGAUAUCACGAAGAACCCCGAUUGCGAAGGCAGCUUACUAAACUGUGACUGAUAUUGAUGCUCGAAAGUGUGGGUAUCAAACAGGAUUAGAUACCCCGGUAGUC
RNAcentral lists this ribosomal RNA (460 nucleotides) under uncultured bacterium. RNAcentral's name for it is "partial 16S ribosomal RNA". It matches the Rfam family "Bacterial small subunit ribosomal RNA", at positions 338 to 795 of the family's 1533-position model. The record is from RNAcentral.